GGCAGCGUGGCCGAGCGGUUAAGGCGCUGGUUUUAGGCACCAGUCCGAAAGGGCGUGGGUUCGAGUCCCACCGCUGUCA
This 79-nucleotide transfer RNA is filed under the name Polistes fuscatus (common paper wasp). RNAcentral's name for it is "tRNA-Leu". It matches the Rfam family "tRNA". Rfam says of the family: Transfer RNA (tRNA) molecules are approximately 80 nucleotides in length. Their secondary structure includes four short double-helical elements and three loops (D, anti-codon, and T loops). Further hydrogen bonds mediate the characteristic L-shaped molecular structure. tRNAs have two regions of fundamental functional importance: the anti-codon, which is responsible for specific mRNA codon recognition, and the 3' end, to which the tRNAs corresponding amino acid is attached (by aminoacyl-tRNA synthetases). tRNAs cope with the degeneracy of the genetic code in two manners: having more than one tRNA (with a specific anti-codon) for a particular amino acid; and 'wobble' base-pairing, i.e. permitting non-standard base-pairing at the 3rd anti-codon position. Lineage: Eukaryota; Metazoa; Arthropoda; Insecta; Hymenoptera; Vespidae. RNAcentral also lists the same sequence under 1 other name. The record is from RNAcentral.